CGGCGGACGGGUGAGUAACGCGUGGGUAACCUACCCUGUACACACGGAUAACAUACCGAAAGGUAUGCUAAUACGGGAUAAUAUAUUUGAGAGGCAUCUCUUGAAUAUCAAAGGUGAGCCAGUACAGGAUGGACCCGCGUCUGAUUAGCUAGUUGGUAAGGUAACGGCUUACCAAGGCGACGAUCAGUAGCCGACCUGAGAGGGUGAUGGCCACAUUGGAACUGAGACACGGUCCAA
RNAcentral lists this ribosomal RNA (237 nucleotides) under uncultured bacterium. Its description in RNAcentral is "partial 16S ribosomal RNA". It matches the Rfam family "Bacterial small subunit ribosomal RNA", at positions 96 to 334 of the family's 1533-position model. The record is from RNAcentral.